RNAcentral lists this ribosomal RNA (492 nucleotides) under uncultured bacterium. Its description in RNAcentral is "partial 16S ribosomal RNA". It matches the Rfam family "Bacterial small subunit ribosomal RNA", at positions 29 to 507 of the family's 1533-position model. The record is from RNAcentral.
AGUGAACGCUGGCGGUAGGCCUAACACAUGCAAGUCGAACGGCAGCACAGUAAGAGCUUGCUCUUACGGGUGGCGAGUGGCGGACGGGUGAGGAAUACAUCGGAAUCUACUUUUUCGUGGGGGAUAACGUAGGGAAACUUACGCUAAUACCUCAUACGACCUACGGGUGAAAGCAGUGGAUCUUCGGACCUUGCGCGAUUGAAUUAGCCGAUGUCGGAUUAGCUAGUUGGCGGGGUAAAGGCCCACCAAGGCGACGAUCCGUAGCUGGUCUGAGAGGAUGAUCAGCCACACUGGAACUGAGACACGGUCCAGACUCCUACGGGAGGCAGCAGUGGGGAAUAUUGGACAAUGGGCGCAAGCCUGAUCCAGCCAUGCCGCGUGGGUGAAGAAGGCCUUCGGGUUGUAAAGCCCUUUUGUUGGGAAAGAAAAGCAGCAGGUUAAUACCCCGCUGUUCUGACGGUACCCAAAGAAUAAGCACCGGCUAACUUCGUG